RNAcentral lists this ribosomal RNA (419 nucleotides) under bacterium. RNAcentral describes it as "partial 16S ribosomal RNA". It matches the Rfam family "Bacterial small subunit ribosomal RNA", at positions 355 to 776 of the family's 1533-position model. The record is from RNAcentral.
UGGGGGAUAUUGCACAAUGGGCGCAAGCCUGAUGCAGCGACGCCGCGUGGGGGAUGAAGGCCUUCGGGUUGUAAACUUCUUUUGCUCUGAACAAGGCGCACUUUGGGGUGUGUUGAGUGUAGGGGUUGAUUAGCGCCGGCUAACUACGUGCCAGCAGCCGCGGUAAUACGUAGGGCGCGAGCGUUGUCCGGAAUUAUUGGGCGUAAAGGGCUUGUAGGUGGCUGGUUGCGUCUGUCGUGAAAGCUCAUGGCUUAACUGUGGGUUUGCGGUGGGUACGGGCUGGCUUGAGUGCAGUAGGGGAGGCUGGAAUUCCUGGUGUAGCGGUGGAAUGCGCAGAUAUCAGGAGGAAUACCGGUUGCGAAGGCGGGUCUCUGGGCUGUUACUGACACUGAGGAGCGAAAGCAUGGGGAGCGAACAGG